AUGCAGCGGCACCUAAUGGUGACAGUUGUUAAAGCGGGGGAUCGCAAGACCUCGCGUCUGAAGAGGAGCCUGCGGCGGAUUAGCUAGUUGGUAAGGUAACGGCUUACCAAGGCGAUGAUCCGUAGCCGGCCUGAGAGGGCGGUCGGCCACACUGACACUGACAUACGGGUCAGACUCCUACGGGAGGCAGCAGUCGGGAAUUUUGGGCAAUGGGCGAAAGCCUGACCCAGCAACGCCGCGUGAAGGAUGAAAUCCCUCGGGAUGUAAACUUCGCAAGAACAGGAAGAAUAAGUAAGGGUUAAUAUCUCUUACGAUGACGGUACUGUUUGUAAGCUCCGGCUAACUCCGUGCCAGCAGCCGCGGUAAUACGGGGGGAGCAAGCGUUGUUCGGAUUUACUGGGCGUAAAGGGCGCGUAGGCGGCCACCGCAAGUCGACUGUGAAAUCUCCGGGCUUAACCCGGAACGGUCAGCCGAUACUGCGGGGCUAGAGUGCAGAAGGGGCAACUGGAAUUCUCGGUGUAGCGGUGAAAUGCGUAGAUAUCGAGAGGAACACCUGCGGCGAAGGCGGGUUGCUGGGCUGACACUGACGCUGAGGCGCG
RNAcentral lists this ribosomal RNA (599 nucleotides) under uncultured bacterium. RNAcentral describes it as "bacterial SSU rRNA". It matches the Rfam family "Bacterial small subunit ribosomal RNA", at positions 173 to 755 of the family's 1533-position model. The record is from RNAcentral.